RNAcentral lists this ribosomal RNA (240 nucleotides) under uncultured bacterium. Its description in RNAcentral is "partial 16S ribosomal RNA". It matches the Rfam family "Bacterial small subunit ribosomal RNA", at positions 94 to 334 of the family's 1533-position model. The record is from RNAcentral.
AGCGGCGGACGGGUGAGUAACGCGUGGGUAACCUGCCUCAUACAGGGGGAUAACGGUUGGAAACGGCUGCUAAUACCGCAUAAGCGCACAGUACCGCAUGGUACCGUGUGAAAAACUCCGGUGGUAUGAGAUGGACCCGCGUCUGAUUAGCUAGUUGGUGGGGUAACGGCCUACCAAGGCGACGAUCAGUAGCCGACCUGAGAGGGUGACCGGCCACAUUGGGACUGAGACACGGCCCAA